This 578-nucleotide ribosomal RNA is filed under the name uncultured bacterium. Its description in RNAcentral is "bacterial SSU rRNA". It matches the Rfam family "Bacterial small subunit ribosomal RNA", at positions 1 to 564 of the family's 1533-position model. The record is from RNAcentral.
CGAGGCCAGAUCUAGAGUUUGAUCCUGGCUGAGAUUGAACGCUGGCGGCAUGCCUAACACAUGCAAGUCGAACGGCAGCGCGGGGAGCUUGCUCCUUGGCGGCGAGUGGCGGACGGGUGAGUAACGCGUGGGUAUCUACCUGAUUGUGGGGGACAACCCGAGGAAACUCGGGCUAAUACCGCAUAAGCCCUACGGGGGAAAGCGGGGGAUCUUCGGACCUCGCGCUAUCAGAUGAGCCCGCGUCCGAUUAGCUUGUUGGUGAGGUAACGGCUCACCAAGGCGACGAUCGGUAGCUGGUCUGAGAGGACGAUCAGCCACACUGGGACUGAGACACGGCCCAGACUCCUACGGGAGGCAGCAGUGGGGAAUAUUGGACAAUGGGCGCAAGCCUGAUCCAGCAAUGCCGCGUGUGUGAAGAAGGCCUUAGGGUUGUAAAGCACUUUCAGUGGGGAAGAAAAGCAGGGCGUUAAUACCGACCUGUCAUGGCGUUACCCACAGAAGAAGCACCGGCUAACUCCGUGCCAGCAGCCGCGGUAAUACGGAGGGUGCGAGCGUUAAUCGGAAUUACUGGGCGUAAA